RNAcentral lists this transfer RNA (68 nucleotides) under Phelsuma dubia. RNAcentral describes it as "tRNA-Ala". Lineage: Eukaryota; Metazoa; Chordata; Lepidosauria; Squamata; Gekkonidae. The record is from RNAcentral.
AAGACCUGUAAAACUUUUAUUUACAACCAUUGAAUGCAACUCAAACACUUUAAUUAAGCUAAGGCCUC